CAGCCGCCGCGGUAAUACCGGCGGCCCGAGUGGCGGUCACUAUUAUUGGGCUUAAAGCGUCCGUAGCCGGGUUGGGAAGUCCUCCGGGAAAUCUGGCCGCUUAACGGUCAGAAUGCCGGAGGAUACUCCCAGCCUAGGGAGCGGGAGAGGCCGAGGGUAUUCCCGGAGUAGGGGGGAAAUCCUAUAAUCCCGGGAGGACCACCUGUGGCGAAGGCGCUCGGCUGGAACGCGUCCGACGGGGAGGGACGAAGGCCAGGGGAGCAAACCGGAUUAGAUACCCGGGUAGUCCUGGCUGUAAACGAUGCGGACUUUGUGUCGGACAAGCUAUGAGCUUGUCCGGUGCCGGAGGGAAACCGUUAAGUCCGCCGCCUGGGGAGUACGGCCGCAAGGCUGAAACUUAAGGGAAUUGGCGGG
This 414-nucleotide ribosomal RNA is filed under the name uncultured microorganism. RNAcentral describes it as "bacterial SSU rRNA". It matches the Rfam family "Archaeal small subunit ribosomal RNA", at positions 459 to 872 of the family's 1478-position model. The record is from RNAcentral.